RNAcentral lists this long non-coding RNA (715 nucleotides) under Daucus carota (carrot). RNAcentral's name for it is "long non-coding RNA (DCAR_LNC000700)". Lineage: Eukaryota; Viridiplantae; Streptophyta; Magnoliopsida; Apiales; Apiaceae. The record is from RNAcentral.
CCCAACGCCAGUCUAUACUAAGCCACCAACGCCAGUUUAUACUAAGCCCCCAACACCGGUCUAUUCUAAGCCACCAACGCCAGUUUAUACUCAUCCACCUACGCCAGUUUAUACUAAGCCACCAACGCCAGUUUAUACACCAAAACCAGUUUACAAGCAUCCACCAAAGCCAGUAUACUCACAUCCCCCGACUCCAGUCUAUACACAUCCACCAAAGCCCGUUUAUACUCAUCCCCCAACUCCAGUUUAUACACAUCCACCAAAGCCGGUUUACACUCAUCCCCCAACUCCAGUUUAUACACAUCCACCAAAGCCAGUUUAUAGUCACCCCCCAACUCCAGUAUACACACAUCCACCCAAGCCGGUUUAUACUCAUCCCCCAACUCCCAAAUACUCCAAGCCACCAACGCCAGUUUAUACCAAGCCACCAACGCCAGUUUAUACACAUCCACCUACGCCAGUAUAUACUAAGCCACCAACGCCAGUUUAUACACAUCCUCCAACGCCAGUUUAUACACAUCCUCCAACUCCGGUUUAUUCACAUCCGCCUAUCUAUAAGAAGCCUUGCCCGCCCAUUGUUCCUCUGCCUAAGCUUCCUCCAAAAUAUUUCCACCACCCAAAAGUACCCAAGAUUCCUAAAAAAUUCUUCCCCCACCCAAAAGUACCCAAGAUUCCUAAAAAAUUCUACCCCCACCCUAAAUUGACCUUCCCACCG